Molecule: RNA transcript, 2929 nt
Organism: Cimex lectularius (bed bug)
Lineage: Eukaryota; Metazoa; Arthropoda; Insecta; Hemiptera; Cimicidae
Gene name: armadillo segment polarity protein-like
Exons: 14
Source: RefSeq, a predicted model, not a curated record
CUACAAACUCAGGCAGUAACUAAGCAAGAGCAACCUCACUCGAGACGAGACGGGUUGAAAGGCUCUCCUUUCCUUUUUCUUUUUGGUUUUUCUGUUUUAUUUUUUCUUUAAUUUAACAAGUUGAUUUUGAUCGUCCGACCAUCGCCUGCUUAAGGGACUUCUCGUCAAAAACGGUGCUGUAGAACACCUGUUAAUUACGAUGAGUUAUCAGAUGCAGACAGCCCAAAGUAGACCAAUGUCACAUGGGAACUACCAGAGCAAUCCUGGAGGCGGGGAUAUGGCAUUGGGAAACAAGGAUCAGACCCUGCUCUGGCAACAGAACAACUAUCUGGCUGAUUCCGGUAUCCAUUCAGGAGUGACAACCCAGGCACCUUCCCUAUCUGGAAAGGAAGAAGACAUGGAUGGCGAUCAAAUAAUGUUCGACUUGGGCCAGGGAUUCACACAGGGAUUCACCCAGGAACAAGUUGACGAAAUGAACCAGCAGCUUUCACAGACAAGAUCUCAGAGAGUGAGAGCUGCUAUGUUUCCAGAAACACUUGAAGAAGGAAUUGAAAUCCCUUCAACUCAGUUUGACCAAGGCCAAGCUACAGCUGUUCAAAGACUGGCAGAACCUUCUCAAAUGUUAAAGCAUGCAGUCGUCAACUUGAUAAAUUAUCAGGAUGAUGCUGAUCUUGCAACAAGAGCUAUACCUGAGUUGAUCAAAUUGCUAAACGAUGAGGACCAAGUUGUCGUCUCGCAAGCAGCUAUGAUGGUUCACCAACUCUCAAAGAAGGAAGCUUCUCGACACGCCAUUAUGAACAGCCCUCAAAUGGUAGCUGCUUUGGUUAGAGCAAUAUCUAACAGUGAUGACUUAGAAACCACCAAAGGCGCUGUCGGAACUUUGCAUAACUUAUCACACCACAGACAAGGUCUUUUAGCUAUUUUUAAAAGUGGAGGCAUCCCAGCUCUUGUCAAACUCCUCAGUUCUCCACUAGAAGCAGUAUUGUUCUAUGCAAUCACAACUCUCCACAAUCUCCUUCUUCAUCAGGAAGGAAGUAAAAUGGAUGUAAGACUUGCUGGAGGGUUGCAGAAGAUGGUUGCAUUGCUGCAAAGGAACAAUGUUAAGUUUCUUGCCAUUGUUACCGACUGUCUCCAAAUCCUUGCCUACGGAAAUCAAGAGAGCAAAUUGAUAAUUCUAGCUUCUCAGGGACCACUUGAGCUAGUGAGGAUUAUGAGAAGUUAUGAUUACGAGAAGUUACUCUGGACUACUUCCCGAGUUUUAAAAGUACUGUCGGUUUGCUCUAGUAAUAAGCCAGCUAUAGUUGAGGCUGGUGGUAUGCAGGCAUUGGCUAUGAACCUAGGCCAUUCUUCUCAAAGACUUGUACAGAACUGCUUAUGGACACUUAGAAAUCUCUCGGAUGCUGGGACAAAGGUUGAAGGUUUAGACGGCCUAUUGUCAUCUCUUGUACAACUCCUUGGCUCUUCUGAUGUCAAUGUUGUGACAUGUGCUGCUGGAAUCCUCUCCAACUUGACGUGUAACAACCAGAGAAAUAAAGUGCUGGUUUGUCAAGUAGGUGGUGUUGAUGCUUUAGUAAGGACCAUUGUCUCAGCAGGAGAUAGAGAGGAAAUAACUGAGCCAGCAGUGUGCGCUUUGCGGCAUUUAACUUCAAGACAUAUUGAAAGUGAAAUGGCACAGAAUUCAGUGAGAAUGAACUACGGGCUACAGGUUAUUGUGAAAUUGCUUGAACCCCCGUCCCGUUGGCCUCUUGUCAAGGCAGUCAUUGGUUUAAUUCGUAACCUAGCUCUCUGCUCUGCCAAUCACAGUCCGUUAAGAGAAUACGGAGCAAUUCACCAUCUUGUCCGACUCCUCAUGCGGGCAUUCCAUGACACCCAGAGGAGAUCGAGUGUCUCAAGCAGUGGCAAUCAAACCCCCGCCAUUUAUGCAGAUGGAGUUAGAAUGGAAGAAAUAGUGGAAGGGACGGUAGGAGCUCUGCACAUUCUCGCAAGAGAAAGUCAUAACAGAACAAUCAUCAGAGGUCAGCACGUUAUUCCAAUUUUUGUGCAACUUUUGUUCAAUGAAAUUGAGAAUAUUCAAAGAGUCGCUGCGGGUGUGCUUUGUGAGCUGGCACAAGACAAGGAAGGUGCUGAGCUCAUAGAGCAAGAAGGUGCUACUGCUCCACUGACAGAACUCCUUCAUUCUCGUAAUGAAGGUGUUGCUACAUAUGCAGCAGCAGUUCUAUUCCGCAUGUCUGAAGACAAGCCGCAAGAUUAUAAGAAGAGAUUAUCAAUGGAGCUGACCAACUCUCUGUUCAGAGAGGAUCCAAAUUUGUGGAAUGGGGAUUUGAAUAUGCCUCCAGAUUUACAGGAUAUGCUAGCUGAACAAAGCUAUGAUGGUAUGUACACCCAUGGCCCUCCUAGUGUACAUAGCAGUCAUGGUGGAAGAGCCUACCAACAAGCAUGACCUGUUUAAUGUUUCAAGUCGUCUGAUUCUUGCUGAACUCCAUACAACAGGGUAUGAUCAGAUUCCGGUUGAUUCAAUGCAGGGGUUGGAUCUUGGGUCCCAACAUGAUUCAAACUAUGGGCCUAUGGAUGUAGGUCCCGCUGUUCUAGAUUUUGACAAUUUGGGCGAACUUCCACAACCUCCUCAAGACAAUAACCAAGUGGCUGCUUGGUACGACACCGACCUUUAGAGGUUUGAUUCAAUUGAUUUUAUUUGAAACUGCUUAAACUUAAUUCAACUUACUUGACUUAAUUAUACUUUCUUUUGAUAAUAUUAAUAAAUUGUGAGUUUUACUUAUUGGAUAAGAUAAUGUAAUUGUAACUUAAACAAUUAAUUAAGAAAACAUGAAUUUUGUAUGAAUUGCAUUUAUUAAAUUAGAAUACAAACUUUUCAUUAUGGAUAAAUUUUAUAAGAUAUUUUGUAAUGUAUUCAAUAAAUUUUGUCUAUUUA